RNAcentral lists this long non-coding RNA (286 nucleotides) under Elaeis guineensis (African oil palm). RNAcentral's name for it is "long non-coding RNA (EGUI_LNC008396)". The record is from RNAcentral. Lineage: Eukaryota; Viridiplantae; Streptophyta; Magnoliopsida; Arecales; Arecaceae.
GUUUCAGUCCUAUGCUCACAAUUUAACUUUCGAAUUUAUAAUUCCUUAACAAUGUGACCCCUGGUUACUUCGUCAUUAAAUUGAUAAUAGAAAAGGUUAUAUUGCCUUUUCAAUUUACCCAUGCGGACUAAGAUUGAUUCAUUUCCCACCAAAACAGGGCCUCUCAACCUUGUUAGAGACUCUCUCCCGCGGAGCUAAAAACAGACAGGAGGAGGAGGAGGAGGAGGAGAAAGAAAGAGUCUGGUAGAAUAUUUUGGCAAUGAGUGUGGGUUCGUCUACCUCAUGC